RNAcentral lists this long non-coding RNA (783 nucleotides) under Equus asinus (donkey). RNAcentral's name for it is "lncRNA (ENSEASG00005029963.1)". The record is from RNAcentral. Lineage: Eukaryota; Metazoa; Chordata; Mammalia; Perissodactyla; Equidae.
GGGAACCUCUGAUCUAUAGCUGAUGGAUCAGAAGCACAGGUGACAACCUGGAUUUGGGACUGGCAUAUGAAGCGCUGGGGUGAGAAUAGGGAGAGACAAGUGACAUCUUCUUGAACACAAACUCAGAGUCUAUCUUCUGGUGCACAAGAUAUAGGAACUUUGAAAGUGAAAAAAAAAUGACCAUGUCAGUGACUAGACCAUGGAUUUUGAGAGGCCUUAGGAUCUCAGCCCAGGACUGUGGGGAAAAGAAACCUAAAAGGAAUGCAUGCAGCAAACCAGAUUAAGGACAUGGCUGAUGGUCAGAGCUGGAAGUUCCGUUACUGAGACAAGGUGGAAGCCAGGAGGCAGAAACCCAAAAGAAACCAGAGCCAAAAGUGACAGUUCGCGAAGCUCAAGGCCAAAGCACAAGACAGGAAUCAGAGGAGCAAUGAACGCUGAGCAAGAAUGUCCAGUGUCAGCAUUCAGAAAAUGCCCUCAUGACAGCUCUUGGAGCAACAGUGCUUCCUUACCUUUGGAAAGCAGCCACCACGGCUGGGCUUUGGGAGUGUGACUAAUGUUGGAGUCAGCAGUUUUACACUCUGAGGAGACAGAAUAGAGACAAGCUCUUCAUACCUAAGAUGUUUCUGGAGUCAUAAAACUCAAAACAGUGUCAUUGAGGCAGGGCCUGGACUAGGGUGGGUGAAUGAGGUGCCUAGGAUGCCAGACACAAAGAGGCAUUUACUCUUAGGGUCAUAAAGAUACGGGUCGCUCAGGCUCAGAGAAGGGAAGGGCGCCUCCCCAUCC